Lepisosteus oculatus (spotted gar) is the source of this 448-nucleotide long non-coding RNA. RefSeq lists it as uncharacterized. The record is from RefSeq and is a predicted model, not a curated record. Lineage: Eukaryota; Metazoa; Chordata; Actinopteri; Semionotiformes; Lepisosteidae.
UGUUGAACCCUUGUGACAGAAUUCACAGCUGUCAUUCAGGAGCCGAGCCCGCCUCCAGAGUGGCCUUCCUCAGCGGACACGCCCCGUCCACCUGUUCCACAGGUGCGCCCGGCAAGAUGGCGGUUGGAUGAGUUUCUGCGGCUUUAGGUGACAAAAGGAUUUCAAGAGGGGAUCUCCAGUUAUGGAAAAACUGUUUUUUCCAGGUUCUGCUGCUCUUGGUCCUCAGCGCUCCGACGAUCUCCUUUCCAGCAACUCUUCGUGCGUUGGCAAGUUCUUCUUGGCAAUGUGUAUUUCUCCUUAAAUUUCGUUAUUGACACCAGUGGCUUGAUCUGAAAUGCACCGAUUGAGUGAUGUAUCUUGCUCUUCAUGUAGCGAAGUUCUUAACCUGUGUUUUCCUGUUGACUGCUGCUAUGUGCUGUGCAUUGUACAAUAAAAGCUGUUGAUCGCA